RNAcentral lists this long non-coding RNA (805 nucleotides) under Homo sapiens (human). RNAcentral's name for it is "HSALNT0291970". Lineage: Eukaryota; Metazoa; Chordata; Mammalia; Primates; Hominidae. The record is from RNAcentral.
GUGGUGUGACUCCCUCUGAGGCUUGGACAGUUCUAUGCAGUUACUCCUCUGCUCCAGGGCCAGUUGCCCCUGUCCAGCACCGUUCCAUGUGCUUUCAUGGGUAACAAAGGAACUCUGGAACUUUUUGCACUAUAUUUAGGAGCCUAAGAGAGGCUGGAAGGUGUUGAAGAGGCUUGAAGUUCAGGCCUUCUCUGCUUCACUGCCAUUUUCACUCUGGUUUCUCCAAAAAAAGAUGCAAGUACAGGGAAUUGGAGAUACCAAAAAAAAUCCCAUCAACCUGGAUAGUGGUGCCUCUAGAUGGAAAUAAGCCCCAUGAGACUCCCAGAAGGAGGCCUGUGCCUCUCCCAAUGCUCAUCUGAUGGCUCCUUCCAUCUCAGACACAAGAGACAAGAAAUGAAGGCCAAUGAGUAGCUGCUUCAAUCCUACACACAGCCCAAAGAAAAGCAUACAUUUGUCUACAAACAGGGCAGUGCAAGGUGUUGCCUCUAAGCCCCUGAAACAGAGAGUACUACUGGGAACAGGUCAACCUCUUCCACUCCAGCGCUGCAUUCGGUGCCCCAUAAUGGUGACUCCCUCUCAUCAGGAUGUAGCCAGAAAGAUCACUACACCCCAUCUCACUAAAAUUCUCAUGAUGACUAAAUAUACAAGCAUGACAGAAAUCAUGCAGAAAUUGACAGUGGAGAUUGUGGCAGGUCAGGUCUCACUAACAUAGGCUUCUGUAACAACUGUUUCAGCACUGACUGAAUGGUUAAGUUACAUAUUAAAAACUGAUAGAGCCAGUACUCUUAAACAAAGGCUGGAACGU